CCUGAACUAUAAGAAAUGUUAAAGAAAGUCUUUUAAAAGGAAAAAGGAAAACUAUAACAGUUGGAAAUUUGGGUUUAUAGAGAAAAAUGAAGAGCGCAAAAUGGUAAUUGUGUAGAUAAACGCAAAAAUAUUUUUUUUUCUUAUUAUUUAAACACAUCUAAAAGACAACUGACUAAAGCAAGAACUUUUUUAAAAAGGAAGCUAAAAAAAAUUAAUUUUAUUCAGGGGGCUAGGUAGACACCGAGGACUGACUUUGCCAAUGAUUAGGGCAGAGAUUUUCCAUAAAUUAAAUGAGUUAAAUUUACAUGGAAACAUAUUUAAGACAUGUAUAUAACACGGUAUGGCAGAAAACAUAUGUUUUUGCAACUAAACUUGUGAUUAAAAAAUACUUAAAUGAAAACUUAUAAAUAUUCAAACCAAGUAUUUCGGAAGUUUUUUAGGCUAGCCAAUGACUCACUGAAGAUGACUAGCUGAAGAGCACAGAUCUCUUGCUUCAAGGUCUUUUACAGCCAUUCCCUCUAACUGAAACACCUCUCUUUCUUUCUCUCCCCUGUCUUUUGCUUGACUAACUAACCCUACUUGUUCUCUGAGACUCUGCCUUUAAGUGACUCUUUCAGGUAACCACCCCAAAUCAGUAAGCACCUCUCCUGUGUGCUCCUGUGAGACUUACCACGCCCUCUCAGUUUAGCUUUCUCCAUCUUCAAGACUAGAAGCUCAGCAGGGCCAAGGACCGCAUCUAUCUUGUGCAUUAAUGUAUUCCCAGAUAGAAUGCAUGACACAUGAUAAAUACUCCAUAAAAACCUGCUGAAUGAAUUUUCAUCAAGCACAGGCAGUCAUGAAAUCAUCUGACCCACAGAAAUCAUUAACUUUAAAAAGUCACAAACUUCUUUUUAUUUCUAGGUAAUAUGAACCUUGACAAAAUUACAGCAAACAAACAUAAGCAUCACAGAACACAACUGCUGUGCCACACCUAUUUUCAAGAAUCUAGUCACUGCAUAUGUUUCAAAUUUGGAAUAAACAACAACAACAACAAAAUGAAAGUCAGAAAUACCAUUAUGGAGAAAAGAAACCAAAAAAGAAAGGAUGAAAUGGAAAAGCUUUGCAGGAAUCAAUUUGAUUCUCCACUAAUGGUUCCCUUGUGAGGCAAAAUGAUAAGUCCAAAACAGAGACUGUACCAUUUUUUUCUAUAAAAAGACAUCUGAUCUAUACAUUAAAACUUAAUGGCAUUCAUAAAAGCCAAACAAAUCCCACCAUGACUAACCAGAGUCAGAAACAGGAAGAAGUCUGUCUUGUCUGGAGAAAAUGAGAUUUUAUUUAAACAUUCAAGCUGCCUGGCUUCUUAAAGUGAUCUUCUACUUUUUAAUACAAAUAUGAAUUUUUUAAAAAACACUUUAGAAAAUGACAGUAGAGAUGAGGUCUAUUUCCUAAAUAAUUAUGUAUCUUAACUAUAUAUUAGUAAUAUUGAUUUGGAUACCUUAAAUCAAUCAACUAGCACAGGUUUAAGGCUUCUCCCCACCUGGAGUCUUUAACCUAAAUUAACACAAAAUUCUUAUGCUUUUAAUCAAUGGACCAGUGACAGCCUCAAAGGACCCAAAAUAAAUUUCAGUCAUAAGCCACUAAUCCAUUCUUUCCAGAAUUACAUACAAUAUAAUUUGAUACAAUUUAAGAGCUGUAAAGGCUCCAAACCACCCAGUUCCAUGUGAUUUCAAUGAUCACUAAUCAAGAAGCUUAUGUAUAUGCUGAAUUUUUUAUUUAAGAAGCAUAAGAGGAAAACAGAUUCAGAGAUUAUAAAGAUUGAUUGCCACAAGCCAUUUUUAAAGCUUCUUCUAGGCUGUAUCCAGAAGUGAGUUACUAAUCUUAAAUUCCUUUAGUUUAAUUCUUUCAUAUAUCUGUUCACCUAACUUACUGAGGACCUACCUACCACAUGCUGUAUGAGUCCCAGAAAUAGAAAGAUUUUUAAGUCCCUACCUUUAAGGGUUACCACUUUAGUAGGAGGAGACAUACAUGUGAACAAAUACAAAUUAGUAUUUAGAGUAUGUCCAGCACAUGCUGAGAGGACAUAAAAAUGGGAGUAGUCACUUUGACCUGAGAGGUUAGGAAAGCUGUGACGGAGAAAGUGAAGAAAACAUUGCUCUUGCCCUCAGAAGUUUAGCACUGCUUAUAAAGAUGAUUCUUUUCACAAUAUCUCUUUGAGUUGUUUUUCCAGUGGAUUCUCUCUCUCUUGCUCUCUCUCUCACUCACACACGCACACUCUAGGAUCUUUUCUGUGAAGAACAUGCAUUUGCAAUAGGCCUAGUCUGGCUAGGGAGAGCAGUCUACUAUCACAAAAUGCAGGUACCUCACUCAUCCUGAGGCUAAGUAAUCUCUAUCUGCUUUUGUAGAAAUCAAUCAUCACAUCCCAGCUCACUGAUUUAGCCGAGGAAAGAAGAGAGUACUUGGGACAAUAAUACAAAGGAGACAGUCUGAUGGGCCUAAUUAGACAUAUACUGUGCCAUAAGUUAAAACUGAAAAACUCUCUAAAACAUUCAACAAGUUAAACCUUAGCCCCACCCCCAAAAACAUGUCAGAAAGGGGGGCAAUUAUCCUAUAUUAAAUUCACUGUUUUAACCUUAAAAACCUGACUUUAGAUGGUACAGCCAUUUCAGUUUUAAAUACUGUCACCAAAAAUGCAUUGUUGGCUAAAGAAUGAAGUGCUAUGGAGCACAGCACCUGAAAAUCUGAUUUUUGUUAAGUCAUAUUUCCCUAGAGCUCACCUAAGGAAGCAGAUGUUUACAUCUUAGGACCUGUCCUUUCAAGAGAAAGAGUGGAUCAGCCCACAAACAUAUUCCCUCACACAAAGCACAGACAACACAUGGAGAUGGGAAGGGAACAGUCGGAAGGAAGGAAGAGAACGGUCAGUGAAGCUUUGCCCACUAUAGCCACUGCACCCAGAAUCUCUGUCACUGCCACUUCCAACCUGACUGGCCCUGCCAUAAUUAUGUGAUAGCCAACACUGACUGUCAGGGACCUUCCUGCUCCCUUCUUACUGUUUAAGACUUUUCUUCCCUUCCCACCUAGGCAGGCUCUCUCAGAGAUCAAGAAAGAUCCAGAUUACUUUCUAAGUCUGAGAAGCCCAUUAUACAUAAAAAUAAAGAAAUGCCAAAACAGGGUCAUAAAAACAGUGGUAUAUAUUUAAGGGGUUACACUUAAUAAUUUUAAUUGCAAGACAAACAUGUUCUUUUAAGACCCCUCUUUUUCUCUAUGACUAUAUGUGGUAUAUUUGAAAAUAAUUUUAAAGUCCAGACCCUUCAUAAAUAUAAGCCUGAGUGAGAGGUUCAGAGGGGGCCUCAAACUCUCUCUGCUUCCCCAUAUUUAGAACCCACCAUUAGCCAAGGUCUAAUUAAGUGAAAAAACUGCUGAGACCUCAAAGAAUUCUCCCUUCACUAGGUACUUUACGCAUUUAAAUUGUUAAUCUGAGGAAUGAGCUCCACUGAAAUUUCAGGCAUCAACAACUGAUAAUUCAGCCUUUCUAGUAUCCCUCAAAUAUUAAGUACAGCCUCUAUAAUCAAUUCACUCUGUCCCCAAAUCUUUCUGUGUAGAUAAAUAUAUACAUAAUUAUAUAUAUGAGCAUAUAUGUAUUAAAUAUAUAUAUGAUUUAAAAAAUAAUAGAUGUGAAGAUUGCAAAAGACUCAGGGAGAUAAUGUGAAAAUAGACUUUUUUUUCACAUAUUAGCCAUCUGGCACGAAUUUUACUUUAAAAUAGCAAAAAAUAGAUUUAUUUUGUGGCAUCCUGGUACUAGCCAAUAUGCUUUGCUUCUGGCAUUGCCAUUUUGAGAAAGGUCAAGGAUGCUCAGCCUUUAUAUUAGUCAUCUAGAAGCCUGAGUGAAGGCUACAAGCUUAGUAACAGUUUUUAGGAGGGAGGCAGGAACACAGAGUACAGUGACCAGUUUUAAUCUAGGUCAAGUGGCAAGUGCAGAGCAGCAACUCACCCAUGUGCGCAGCAUGUGAUAGCACUAAAACAUACUGUUCCAAUCCUGUGCUCCCAGAUUUAAAGAUCCGACCAGCCUCAUCCACAAAUUAAUCCUACCCCUUUCCUAACUUAGUACAGAACACUAUGACACUUUUUUGGACACCCAAAAGCAAAGUUAAAAAACACACUGAGUCAUACUCAAAACACUCAAAACCCUUUAAGGGCAACAGCAAACUCUUUUUUGCUACAUGUACCUUGAGAUAACAAAGCUAAAACAUACACAUAAACACCACAGGCACAAAAAAUUAUUUUACUUCAGAUGAGCUUAGAUUGACUCUGCCUCCAAACAAAACAGGACUCUGCCAGAGCUAAGGGAUACCUGAAGGCGAAUCUGCAUGUGGGAAGAGGAAGGUUCAGAGUGUCACUGCUGCACAGCUAUAUGCUCCAUGAAUCUUGCACCUGAGAGGCAAGAGGAGAUUCUGAGCCUGCAAGUUUCAAUCAAGAACUCUACCACCUACAGGCCCAUCAGCUCCUAUGGUCCUUCCUCCAUUUCAUGCUAGAAUUACAGCAGAAACAGAUCAAUGUAUAAUUCCUGAAGAUACUGCAGAGCCUUAAAGUGAAACGGGUGUCUUAUGUUAAUGAGAGACUUUUGGACCCACCCAAGGCAGGGGCUGGAGGUUGAAUCAGCCAAUGGCCAAAGAUUUAGUCAAUCAUGACUAUGCAGUGAAGCCCUCACAAAAACCCAGGAGAAGAACCCAUCUCUCUUGCAUCCUGCUUCUCUGUUGGAGAGAGCCUCCAAGCUUGGGAAACCAGAACGCAUCCACAUGCCACUGAGCCAACCCCACGCUCCACAAGGAUAGAAGCUCCUUUAUUUGGGACCUUGCCCAAAGUAUCUCUUCAUCUGGUUGUUAAUUUAUAUCCUUUACAGUACCCUUUAUUAAACCAGUAAAUAUAAGUGUUUUCUUGAGUUCUGUGAGCUGCUCUAGCAAAUUAAUCAAAAGUAAGGGGGAGGUCACUGGAACCUCCAAUCUGUAGCCUGCAGGUUAGAAGCACAAGUAACUAACUAUCUGGGGCUUGUGAGCCAGGGGUGUAGGGCAGUCUUGGGAGGAUGGAGCUCUUAACCUGGGGAAUCUGGUGCUAUCUUAGGACAGAUGGUGUCAGACUUGAGUUCUCAGACACCCUGCUGGUGUUCGAUAAUUGCCUGGUGCUUGGGAAGACACACAUACACACACACGCACACUUUGGAAUCAGGUCUGGUAACAGAAAGGAGCUAUACUGUGGAAAAUACUACCAUAUUGUGCAAAGGGCCUUUAGCUGUCUUCAAUUAUAUGUUUGAUCCCUGGCAUUGCGGCUGGGUUCAGUCCAACAUGAGUCCAAAGAUGCUUAUACCUCUGAGAGACAAAGUCCAGACCUCAGAUGGCAUUACAAAGAAUGACAAAAUAGCAGCAUUAUUCACAACAGUAAAAGGUGGAAGCAAAUCAAGACCACUGAGGGAUGAAUGGAUAAACAAAAUGUGGUAUAUACACAAAUGGAGUAUUAUUCAGCCUUAAAAAGGAAGGAAAUUCUGACAUACGCUACAACAUGGAAGAAACUUGAAAACAUGAUGCAAAGUAAAAUAAGCCCAUCACAAAAGCACAAAUACUUUAUGAUUCUGUUUAUAUGAGUUACCUAAAGAAGUCAAAUUCACAGAGAUAUAAAGUAGAAUAGUAGUUGUCAGGGACUCAGGAGAGAGAAAUGAGAGGGUUUAAUGAGUAGAGUUUCAGCAGAAAUGAAAAGGUUCUAGAGGUAGAUGAUAGUGAUAGUGACACAAUAAUGUUAAUGUGCUUAAUGUCACAGACUACACCUAACAAUAGUUAAAAUUGUAAAUUUUAUGUAUGUUUUACUGAAAUAAAAAAAAUAAAGAAAAGAAUCAGUUUUACAGUCUCAAGACAGUAAUAUCCUAGCAUUUCGCCAGAUUGUAAAAGUGCCUUUUUAUUCUCAUCCUAAUAUUAAACUCUUGGUUUCUAUACUUAAAGGUUUUUAAUCAAACCAAAAAAGUAAGUUAUAACAAUCUUCCUAAAAAGUUAUGAUGAAAGAACAAAAGACUACUAAAACUGACAAGCAAAUUUACAGACUUCUAGAAGUAAAACUUUAAAUUAAAAAUUCAGUGGAUGGAUUAAAUGCCAUAUUAGACACAGCUGCAUGAGCAUCAGCUGAAGAAGUGAAGAAGUUACCAAAUGGAAAAUAGAAUGAGAAAGUCCAACAUUUUUCUAAUUAGAGUUCCAAAGGGAGAAUAAAAUGAGGGAAGAGGCAAAAAUUCAAAGAGAUAAUUGCAAAGAAUUUUCUAGGACUGAUACAAGAAAUCAACUUUCAAAAUCAAGGAGCCCAAAAAAUCCCAAGAAAGAUAAAUAAGGUCUUAAAAAACCCAGGGAGAAAAGUCAUAAUCUACAGCAAAACAGCAAUUAGACUGAUGGCUGGUUCGAAUGCAGAAACACUGGAAUAGUGUUUUCAAAUAUUAUCAGACUAAUAUAUAUGUAUGAUAUACAUACACAUUACAUGUAAUAUCAAUCAGCCUAGAUUUUUUAAUCCAAUGAAAUCAUCUUUCAAAAAAGAUGACAAAUAAAAAUAUUUUGAGACAAAUACUUAUAAAGAGUAUAUAUAGUCCAAAGACCCUAAUAAAGAUACUAGUGAAUGGUGUUGGGGGGGGACUUGAUAAUAUGGGUGAAUGUAGUAACCACAAUGUUGCUUAUGUGAAAACCUUCAUAAGAUUGUGUAUCAAUGAUACCCUAAUGAAAAAAAGAAAUGGGAAAAAAAAAGUUACUAGUGAAUGAUGGACAUCAGGAAGAAGGGUAUCCAGAAGGAAGGUCUGUUCAUCACUUCUCUUACAUCUCAAAGGAAAAUGGUGAACAUGGGCAAAUGGGGGGAAAAAAUGUAUAAGACAACAACAGUAUCUAAUUUAUCUAAAGUAUCUAUAAGAAUCACAAUAGAAACGAUAUCUUAGACAACUGUAUAUAAGGAAACAACAAAAUUAGAAGUAUUUUAAAAUCUCUACAUUACUCAGGAGGGCAAUAAAGAUGCUAAUUAAGACUUUGUUAAAAAUGCAUGUUAAAAAUUUUUCAGAAAACCACUGAAAGACUAGAAAAACUAGGUAUGCCUUCCAAACUGACAGUGUCCCCUGCCUGACAUGUUCAACUCUUAUUACUCUGUGUUGAUAGGACAUCUGAAAGAGAUUCUAGCCCUCCUUCCAGGCAAGAGAUACUAAGCUCAUCCAGUACCUGGCAUAGUAUAUAGUCAUUAAAUAUUUGUUAAAUUAAUUUGGCUGUUCCAGAAUAAGAUGAAUUCUAUUUCACAAAUGCAUCAUACUUCUCAACUUUCUGUGGAAGGCUGAUCCCAUCUUACUAUUUUAGUGAGUGGCCUGUUUUACCCCUUCAAUUUUUUUCUUUUUUAGAAAGUAAGAUGAUAAUGAAUGCUUGGAAUAAAAUCCCAAAUCCUGAGCCCCAU
Manis pentadactyla (Chinese pangolin) is the source of this 7428-nucleotide long non-coding RNA. RefSeq lists it as uncharacterized. The record is from RefSeq and is a predicted model, not a curated record. The transcript has 3 exons. NCBI's taxonomy places the organism in Eukaryota, Metazoa, Chordata, Mammalia, Pholidota, Manidae.